GCUCUUCUAAAAAUUUACACAGAAAAUUCUCUCCCCCUUCUCUUUCAAACUGAGCGGACCAGCUAGGGCUCCGCUGCCGCGGCCGCCGAAGUUCCGGCGAGGAGCGCCGGCCUCGCCCACCUUAGUUCCUCCGCCUGAAACCCUAGGGCCCAGAUCUAGACUCUACCCUCUCCGACCUAAAAUUCUAACUUCCUUCCAAAUCGGAAUCCUCACUGCCUAAGUUGAUGCCGCCACCGGCGAGCAGCUUUUGCUACCGAUUCUGGCGCCGCAUCUACUUUGUCGGACCCUCUCUCUCGAUUCACCUUUCUCAAUCAAAGAAAUCGACUGAAACAGGAAAGAGAAGGAAGCCCUAAUUUCUCCCUCUAGAGAUUCUGCCGCCGUGGCGACCUUGAAAUUCCGGCGAGGCCGAGGCUAGUCAUGGCCUCUGUCCUCCCAUUUCCUUCUUUGACCUCAGUUUUCAAGUCGCUCUCCAAAGAGCAGCUCGGCCAAGCCAGCCACCUCUGCAAUGAAGACGGUCGUUCUAUCCUCCACGUCGCCGUUUUCUCCUCGUACAUGUUAUGAGUUCAGAGUGUAGGUUGCUGUGUAGUGUUAUAAGAAUGAGUUCGUGAAUCCUUUCAUCUGAUUGAAAAAGUUCAAAUAGAUCAAUUUAUCUACUCUGGUGGCACUUUGUCAGAUCUUUUUUCCUUAACCGUGUUUUUUUUCGAAUUUUUACAUCUAUUUUCUUACACCUAUGGUCUUGAGCGAAUCAUUAUGUUGCUUCAGGUCCCUCAUGUGCAAUCAGUUAUUCUCUUGUGUAUUGUGACCCCUAACAUUCUUCCAUGAAGCUUCUGUUAAUCCUCUGCAGGGAGUUGAUCACUUCAAGAAAAUUCGAUAUGCUGAUGGGAUAACAUAUGGAGAGCUUUUUCUGGAAAACGAGUAAAUAAGCUGUUUCACCCUUUUCCUGAUAUUUGCUGGUUAAUCUACUCCUGUCCAUAUCAUUUAUUUAUUUAUAACAUUAGACCACCGUAUGGGAUUGAGUGUUUCUAUAAUUCAUGUUAUUAUCUACAGUUUGGCAUAUAAAUAGAGAAUCUUCACUUGAUUGUGAUAUCAUCUUUAAUGAUUAUAAACUUUUGUAUAUUAUGCUUGUUUAUUUUUUAUGAUUGAUUUUCUUUCUUGUCACUUGUCCUUUUAGAGUUCUAUUUGCCUAUUGUCCUCAGACUACUUGCUCUUAUUUGUUUAUAGUUUUUUUAGUUUACACUAAUUGUUAUUGUCAAUUGAUAUAUUGUAAUUGUUAUCCUUGUUUAUCCUGUGACAGGGCUGAUGGUCACGACUGCAUUUCUUGUGAUAUAGUUUUAAGGGAGGUGACUUUCUUAGGAAAGAUGGUAAAUGUGGGGAAAGUAUAUAUGAUGGAAAGUUUCCAGGUAUGAAACUAUUCUUUGGUUUCACCUUUUAUUUUUAUAGUUUAUCAUCUCAUGAGAACUGAUCAUACUUGGAAUAAGCCAUGUAUAUCUGACACUUUUGAUAUUAAUAUUUGCAUCUACUAGUUCAGAGAGACAGGCAUAACACUUGCACAUGUUUUUCUUUUAUCAACUUCUUUUUGUCUUGAGAACAUAUGGAUUUCCUUUC
This is a long non-coding RNA of Salvia miltiorrhiza (redroot sage), 1605 nucleotides long. RefSeq lists it as uncharacterized. The transcript has 3 exons. NCBI's taxonomy places the organism in Eukaryota, Viridiplantae, Streptophyta, Magnoliopsida, Lamiales, Lamiaceae. The record is from RefSeq and is a predicted model, not a curated record.